Small nucleolar RNA from Callithrix jacchus (white-tufted-ear marmoset), 95 nucleotides. The record is from Ensembl. Lineage: Eukaryota; Metazoa; Chordata; Mammalia; Primates; Cebidae.
AACCAAAGCCUAAGCAUGACGAUUGGGUUUCCACGCUAUUGUAUGAUAUGUGCCUUCCUCAAAACUUGUUACAUCAUCACAUCACCCAUCUGAUG